UAGGCGGGAGCCUAUGAAGCGGCGGCGCCAGCUGUCGUGGAGGCACCCUUGAAAUACCGCCCUUCCCCUUAUCGAUAUCUAACCGCGGCCCGUUAUCCGGGUCCGGGACCCUGCAUGGCGGGUAGUUUGACUGGGGCGGUCGCCUCCCAAAUGGUAACGGAGGCGCGCGAUGGUGGGCUCAAGCUGGUCGGACAUCAGCUGACGAGUGCAAUGGCAUAAGCCCGCCUGACUGUGAGACUGACAAGUCGAGCAGAGACGAAAGUCGGCCAUAGUGAUCCGGUGGUCCCUCG
RNAcentral lists this non-coding RNA (290 nucleotides) under Daphnia magna. Its description in RNAcentral is "Bacterial large subunit ribosomal RNA". It matches the Rfam family "Bacterial large subunit ribosomal RNA", at positions 2144 to 2433 of the family's 2925-position model. The record is from Rfam by way of RNAcentral. Lineage: Eukaryota; Metazoa; Arthropoda; Branchiopoda; Diplostraca; Daphniidae.